Molecule: long non-coding RNA, 3529 nt
Filed under: Homo sapiens (human)
Lineage: Eukaryota; Metazoa; Chordata; Mammalia; Primates; Hominidae
Description: HSALNT0306712
Source: RNAcentral
GCCACCAUGCCUGGCCUACUACUGUGGUUUUCUGGCCAGUCCUCUUUCUUCACUCUGGUUUGUUCGUUUUUGGUCACCACUCCAAUGGACUUCUGUAUCUCUUUAUCCUCUGGCCUGUUAUCUGCUUGAAGCCAGGUGGGUGUCAUAAGGAAGGGCCAGGGGGACAAGCACAUAAGCACAUGUAGCCACCCCCUUUUCAUCUUCCUCAGCAACCUGGUACCUGGGAAGAGAGUGAACAGCAAAAAAGGCAUAGAGGAAAGCUAGAGAAAAGGGAUGGUAGUGAAUGUCCCAUUGUCCAUGUCACAGGCCUUCUCAUUUAUAUGCUAUUGCCAAACAAGAAGGAGGAAGCAAAAGCUUUUGGGGGAAAUGGGUAGAGAUAGGGAUGGAUAAAGAUAAUGAACCAUACUGUGAAUGAUCAGGUGAGCAGGGACUGAUAAGUUGGAAGAGGAGGAGGCAAUUUAGAGGAUUUAUUUAAUCAGAGUCCUAGAGUUGAAGGCAGAGAUGAGAAGGAGAGGACUAAAAUGGCCAGGGUGCCAACAAUAAUGUGAAUGAGUUUAAAGUAAGAAGAGAUCUAUGGAAGUGAAUAAAAAGGGCACAUGGAGGAUGCUGGGUGCUGGGCAGGCAGGUAGGUAUAAGGUGAAAGUUGGAUAUAGAGGCCAUAGCAAGACUAUGUUAGGAGAGUGUGGCUCUAAGUAUGGGAAGCUCUGGGCUAAUGAGGACCACACAGAUGUUUCAAGGUGUCAUAAAGGAGUCAAAAGGAACAAAAUCAUUGGCAUGGAAACUUGCAUUUCCUAUAAUUCCAUUCUAGUCAGAGAGCUUGUUUCCUAAGAGGUGCUGCAAUCUUUAGGCAGGGGUGAUGUGGACUCCUUCAAAGAUUUGGGUCAUUGUGAAGGGCAGAAGCAGGUGGCAGACGGAGGACACAUUCCAUGGUUUCUGACAUUCCUCCAUUACAAUAACUCUGUCUACUACAUGUUGCAAUUCCAGAUAUCAUAUCAUAUAAUCAUCUCAACUCCAAAUAUGACGUUGGCACUGUUAUUUCCAUUUUACAAAUGAAGAGAUGAGGUUGAGAGGUAUCGUUUAUUAUCUUGGCCUAUAAGUACAUGGAAGAGUUGGAAUUCGAACUGAGAGCCAGGAUAUGAACUUACAAGUGCCUUGCUUUAGCACUGCCUGUCCCAGAAGGAUUGUACCUUUCUGCUUCUCCAGAAACUAACUAAAGAUUUUCUCACCUGCUGAGAGUUGAGGAUGUUGCUUCAGGCAUGUUCAGACUUCUGGAGGGGAGCAUUGACCUGAAACCACAGUGGGGUUGAUUUUUGAGUAGUGAACCAGCUUUGCAUUCCUGGGCAAUGCUUCCACACAGGACAUAGUUCAGAAGGCAUUAGAAGGCAUAGAGUAAAAAGAUGCAUUCCUUUGAUUGAAUUUAAAGUCAAGCUUGUGCUUCUGGAUGGCUGCUUUGUCAGUGAACACUUGGAUUUGGAAAAUACAGCACCUGGGUUGGUUUUGAGAGAAAAUGGUUUCAACUUUAUAAUUACAGUUUUAACCACCACAACAACAAAAUUAGGAUGGUAGUGAAAUGGAACUAAAUCAAAUGCAAGGUUUUAGUUUAAUAGAACAAUGUCAUCCUUUAAUAAUCUUUAAAGAAGAACAACUAAAUAACCAAUAACAAAAUUGAAAUAGGUCAACUUUUAUCUAAAUUCCAUAGAAUCUAUAUACUCUAUUGUCCAGUUGAAGGAAAGGCUGCUGUUAUACCUUAACAGUUGUUAUUAAAAUUUUGAAGUUAUUUAAUGGUCUUUUAAAAUUUAUUUUAAGUAGUGUGAUUUUAACGUAUAGAGAAAAUAUUCACACUUUGUAUAGUUCCUAAGAGAUGAUUAAACAGGUAGAAAUAAAAAAUAGGAAAUAAAAUGAAAUAUAGAGCAUAAUUUCUACCACAAAUCUUUUUCCUUAAAACUAUCUCUGUCCUGGCCACAUAGAAAAUUAUUAUAAUCAUACAAUGCAAAAGUGAUCUCUAGCUAGUUAAAAAAUAGAAUAUGAUAGGGCUAACUUCUUUGAAAAUGUAAAUAUUAAUAUUACUCAAAACAGGUUAUUCUAGGGCUAGACUUUAGUAAUUCAUUUCCAUUUUGGACAAAUGUUUUACUUUGUCUUAAAUCCAUUUGAGGUUCUUGUUGUGCAUAAGUGGUUGGUUGGAUUUUUAGGGUUCCUGAGAGGAAAGGGUUGAGGAAUAUAAAAUUCACAUUUGUACUUUUGGUAGUGGUAUAGGAAAUAAACCUUUAGAGAAAGGGGGAAUUCUUUGUCAAAUAGCAAUUGGAAUAUAAAUAUGAUUAUAAACAUAUUGGUGGAAAAAUCAUCUUUCUUAUAAGUGGAAUUAAGAGCAUAUUGUUGGAUGGUAUGACAGAAGCAAACUCCUCCCACAGAAUAGUAGAGGCUUAUGAAUAGGCAGGGGUAGUCAUAAAAGGAAACAAUAUCUUAGUUUAAGGCAUUUAAUUGCAAAAGGAGAACACAAGUGUGGAAUACACUAAAGACCUCUGAUUCCCAGUGUUCUUAAAUAGCAAAAGAAACUCUAGAACUUUGCCUCUAAGGUAUUACAAGAACUUUGUCAAGUUGCACAUGAGAAAAUAGAGCCCAUAGCCAUAUAGUAAGCAAAAAAAUUCUGUUUGAGUAUUGACAUGACAGUUUUUGAAAGUUCAAGCAGAAAACCAAUUAUAAUGAGCACUGGAAAGCCCGGAGCCCUGCUGUUCAAUAAAUAAAAAGUACAACAAACUAUUUUCCAAAAAGGUUCUAGAGAGUUUCUUCUUGUCCCACUACUUACAAUCUGAUUACAUAAAUAGUCUCUAUUUGCUGUUGAAUUGCCAGGCAGCUGUAUUAAAGUACAAAUCAAAUCAAGUCAGGAUUAGAAAGUAAAAGAGCAUGGUUUAAAGUAAUCUAUCCCCCAGGAACUGUGCUCAGAUUCAUCAAACAGAGCUUAAAGUACAGUAUAUCUUAUACCCUUGUGUUUCCAUGCUGCAUUGCUGCAAAACCAGUUAUUAUUUUUGAUAUCCAGAAAAUGUUGCUUGUUGCUUGAAGAAGGCUCACUUGCUUAUUUAAAGGUACUAUUCAUAUGUGCCACUUAUUUAUUACUUCUUUUGGUUAAGAUUCAUGGGGAGGACAUAAGUACUAAAGACUAGUAGGCUUUUUAUUGAUCAUAUCCUAUCUGGCUUAGCUGUGAACUGUCAUGAAUAUUUCUUAUAGAUAGAAUGACUAAUUUAUUCCAGAUUUUAGGUAAUAUACAAUAUGAUGGUAUUAAAGAAAAGCUAUAGGUCUUUAGAUGCUAUUGGCUAAUAAAGUAUUAUGUAUACCUGCCCUUAUAAAUCCUGCUCCAUCUAAUUAUGACCGAAAAAAAACGAUUUAAUCAUUUCAACUUGUAAUUGUUUUUGAUGAAAAGCUCUAUACGUAGUUGUCAAUGUACUCAUCUUAGUCAUCAAUUCUUGUAUAGUUAUAAAAUUUGUUACCUUAAAGUAGAAUGAACAUAAUUAAAUAUUUAUAGUGAUAUCAAUGA